AGAUUGAACGCUGGCGGCAUGCCUUACACAUGCAAGUCGAACGGCAGCACGGGAGCAAUCCUGGUGGCGAGUGGCGAACGGGUGAGUAAUAUAUCGGAACGUGCCCAGUCGUGGGGGAUAACGCAGCGAAAGCUGUGCUAAUACCGCAUACGAUCUAUGGAUGAAAGCGGGGGAUCGCAAGACCUCGCGCGAUUGGAGCGGCCGAUAUCAGAUUAGCUAGUUGGUGGGGUAAAAGCCUACCAAGGCGACGAUCUGUAGCUGGUCUGAGAGGACGACCAGCCACACUGGAACUGAGACACGGUCCAGACUCCGUACGGGAGGCAGCGAGGUAGGGGAAUAGUUGCA
This 345-nucleotide ribosomal RNA is filed under the name uncultured soil bacterium. Its description in RNAcentral is "bacterial SSU rRNA". It matches the Rfam family "Bacterial small subunit ribosomal RNA", at positions 26 to 370 of the family's 1533-position model. The record is from RNAcentral.